Molecule: RNA transcript, 4089 nt
Organism: Camelus dromedarius (Arabian camel)
Lineage: Eukaryota; Metazoa; Chordata; Mammalia; Artiodactyla; Camelidae
Exons: 3
Source: RefSeq, a predicted model, not a curated record
ACUCCGAGGGGAUGCAGCAGCAAUUCAUGUUUUGAAGUGCUUUAAACGGUUCAAAACGUGAGGCGCUGCUAUACCCCCUCGAGAGGAAGUUGGAAGAGGGAGUUCUGCUGGACGUGCGUUCCUAAGGGGCGCUGGCUGCCAAGGAGAGCUCUGGAGCAGAAGGAGGCCCCGCAGCAGCUGGCGCCCACCCUCCGAGAGGACCACGCCAGCACCAUCCGGCUCCCUCCAGCAGGACCCAGGAUUUUUUGAAGGUAUCCAGCUUCUCCAGUUAGCAGUACUGAUUUUUUUCCCCCCAACAAAGGAACACUACAUCAACACCCUUGGCCGGGAUCUGGACACAGAAGACUCCUGUUUCAAGAAAACACAAUCAUCUCUCAAAUCCUGUAAUUUAUAUGCAUUUUAAACUCACUAGGUAUUAAAAACCACCCAAGUGUCCCACAACAUGGGGUAUAAUAUAAUCAAUCACUCAGUGUAAUAUUAUACAUCCUUUAAAAAUGUUAUUGGAAAAUGUUUUAUGAUCUGUAAGUCGAAAUAACCCUCUCCCACCCUUCCUCUCUCCCUGCUGCUCCCUUAUACCCACACUUCUUUGUUCCAAUUGGCAUGUAAACUUGCUUUUCCCGCCAAAUGAGUCAGUCAUGAUGGGAGCGUCAAUUGAUUUGAACAGAUGUGUGUCAAUAUUACUUGGAAAACUAGAUGCCAAUAACCAGGGCCACAAAAAAAAAAAAAGCAGUGGUUGCAACUCUGUAAAAAUUUAUACGUGCAUACAGACAAGCACUAUAGUGGAACCCCAAACAGGAAACUAGUUGGAUAUACUCUAGUGCUGGGAGAGUAAAUGACUGUAAGAUGCUUUUGAUUUCCAUUAAUAUGGGCAACUGUCCAAUUAAAAAAAGACCUACUAAGGACUCUGAAGUGCAAAUUAUUUUGCUGAUUGUUUAAAAAAGAAAAACGCCAUACCUAUCAAAUCAUCAAGGCAGAUGGGGCAGCCGGGGACAGAGUUUGUUCCCUGAUCCUGGACUGUCAGGCUCAGAGCAACACUUGGAGAAAAAGUCACCCUACACAGGUGGGGGUUAACUUCUAGGUAGCUUUCCUGAGAGAUGGCAUAAGAUAAAAAUAAAAGUAAAUCCAAAAAACAUUUUUUUGAAGAUCAAUAAAAGUUAAUGGAUAGGAAUUAAAAACGAGAGUCGGGCGCUAUAUCCAAGUUGGCAUAAAGUUUUAGAGCUGUUUUCCCAUCAGCCUACGGUGUAACUUGUCCUCAUAACCCUAGAACUUGAGAUAUGCAUUUAUAUUUAGAAUGAUUACGUUACUCUUAAAGGAAAAACAAUAUAUGCACCAAUUAUAGCAAAUGCGUAUCUCCCUGCCACCCUAAACCCCACUCAUCCCCACCCAUUAGUCACUGCUCAGUAAGUGAACAAAGAUCUGCUAGCUCUUUCAGAACAUUUCACCUAUCUGCAGCUUUUACCUCCCUCCCCCGCUCCAUGGCUGAUCUCUGGCUAGUUGAGAAAGGCUUGGACCCCUGUGGGGACAGUAAAUUGAGCCAUUAGGGAGGAACCCUGAGAAGACCUCCAUUUCCGGUGGCGGCUCAGCUUCGGAGUGCUCCCCUUCCACUAGUGAGCUCUAGAAACUGAGCAGCUCCUGGGAGUUUGGGUGGUGGCCCUGCCCUCCCGGCCUCCGUUAGCCUGGGAGCUGAGAACAGAGCAAUGUACUCAAGAGUCCCAAUUGCUUUAAAGCAUGAGUCUCCCAAAGCAGCUCCCUCACCUGUCCCCCAACCCCACCCCCACCUGCUCUCAAGACCAGACUGUUGUCCCAAGACCAGACUUUUUAAAGUCCUGAUCAUAAAAAUCGCCAACGAUCAGAAUCAGAAUAAUCCCAACAUAUUGCUUUUUGUAUCAUGCUUUUCCAAAUGCUUUCAUAGCAAAAACCCUGAGAGAUAAAUCCCAUAAGGCAGUCAAAAACACAAUCGCCGACCAGAAAACUGGGGCUUCCGGAGGUUAAGGAUUUGUCCAAGGCGAGUCUGGUGCCUCUUCCUCCAGGCUUCGUGUUGUGCUUCUUAUAUUAUUACCUGUUAAUCAGAACCAACUACACAGUAGAGACUAGAGCAGGAAAUGGAGUUGACUUAGUUUGCUUAGAAAAAUUAGAGGUGAAACUGAUUUGUCAUAAAAUGAGCUUUUACCUACACCCUGGACGCUUCCAGAAUGGCUCCGGGAUGACUAAAUAGUGACAGUAAAUUACCCAGCUGUGUACACGUGGAUGUGCACAAACCAAAAAAAGCAUGAUUUAAAAUCAUUUAAAAAUCUCUGGCCCAUAUUUGAUACUUUCUAUAGAUUCAACUAAAUUAAUUUUAAGGAAAGAGAUGAAAUGUCCAACCAUAGGGGUUAACUUAAUUUAGUCACUCACUCAAUGAAAUCUUUCAACCGUUACAAAUAAUAAGUUUAAAGACUAUGUCAAAGACUAUGUCAAAGUUUAUGAUACCAUGUUUUACAAAUCAGGAACACAUAGUCACUUGGCCACCAUGAUUGACAAGCAGGUCUGUAUAGGCGCAGAAACUGGAAAGAACGUAGAAAACAAACAUAUUCGUUGCUUAAGGUGAUGGGAUUCAAGCUAAAGUUUUUUCUCUCUCUGCUUUUCCAGUAUGCUUUUUGUUAUGCCGUGUUGUUUGUUAUGUUGUCAAACAUAAUUCUCUCAAAAGUCUUCAGGGGUCAUGGGUGAGACAGCAAUUUUGGGUCCAGGACGCACAGACCUCAGACAUCUCGGGGAUCAUCAUGUCACGAGAUACCACUGUGCACUUGUGACAGAUUGAUAACUGAAAGGUCUGGGAGCCGCUCAUCUUCACGGCGAUACAACUGGUAAGUAUUACAAGACCAGCCAAUGAAAAGGUCAGAGAAAAGUGGGCCCUAAGCGAGGAAGAAAGUGGUGGCUGUGGCGCAAACAGGGGGAUGAGUUGUAUUUUAAUAGUUUAAUGGGAGGUGGGGGUUCAGACUCUGUCUUUAAUUAUAUUUUAAAUUUCUUUUUAAUGAAUUGAAACUUAUUUAAGGCAUAAGAUUUGAUAUUCAUGCUAGAAUGUUAAAGAAUUUAUGCUCAAGCAAACAACCAGAAAAACACGAACUGUGAGCACUGAAGACAUCGGGUCAUCCUGAGUAUGUUAUGUCAAUGUAAGUGGUCCAGAAAAGACGGGAAACCCCCGUGAACAAAAAGUCACAAAACAAAAAUACAUGAAAGAUGCUCAUUUCAGUAUUUUUAAGACUAGAAAUUAGAAAUACCGUGAUGACCAACAACAAAGGAUUGGGUAAAUAAAAUAUGGUGCCUCUAAUAAAUGACAUGAGAAUUGGCUUCUGCUGAAAUAUUUAGUGAUAAAAGAAGCAUGCCAAUUUUUUUUUGCACUGUUCCCAUCUGUGCAAUCUGAGUAUAUGGGGAGCAUUCGGCAUGCAGUUUUGUUUCAAUAUAUAGACACAAGGCUGGGAGGAAAUAAAGCAAAACUUUAACAGUGGUUAUCUCUGAGUUGCAAUAUGAAAAGUGAUCAAAGAAAGAUGCUAAACUAUUUUUGCGAUGUGUUCCUAAUAUGUAAUAUAAAUGUAUUGGGAACAUUUUGCAUUCGUAGUUUUGUAUCAAUAAUAUGGAAAGAAGGCUAGGAGGAGGGAUACCAAAAGUUUAUCAAAGAAAGAUGCUAAACUAUUUUUGCGAUGUGUUCCUAAUAUGCAGUAUAAAUAUAUUGGGAGCAUUUUGCAUGCAUGGUUUUGUAUCAAUAUACAGAUAAAAGGCUGGCGGGAAUAAAGCAAAAAUUGUAUAAUGGUUAUCUGUGGGUUGUGAUGUGAUAAAGUGAUAAAAGGAAGGUACAAAAUUAUUUUUGCAAUAUGUUCCUGAAUAUGUAAUAUAAGUGUAUUGGGAACAUUUUGCAUCCAUAGUUUUGUAUCAAUAUUUAGAGAAAAGGCUAGGAAGUAACAUACCAAAAUUUAGUGGGAGCCUUUUCUGGGUUCUAGUAUUAUAGAUUGUAUCUAUUCUUCUCUUUAUACUUUUAUGUAUUUUCCAAGUAAUACUUGUACAAACAAGAUGCAUUACUUUUAUAGCAAUAAUAAAACUUAUUUUAUGUUUUUA